This 145-nucleotide small RNA is filed under the name Carnobacterium maltaromaticum. RNAcentral describes it as "L20_leader". It matches the Rfam family "Ribosomal protein L20 leader". Rfam says of the family: This family is a putative r-protein leader autoregulatory structure found in B. subtilis and other low-GC Gram-positive bacteria. It is located in the 5' untranslated regions of mRNAs encoding initiation factor 3 followed by ribosomal proteins L35 and L20 (infC-rpmI-rplT). The record is from RNAcentral. Lineage: Bacteria; Bacillati; Bacillota; Bacilli; Lactobacillales; Carnobacteriaceae.
AAAACAAAGCAGAAGCACCCGCUUCUCGCCUAAGUUGACGUUAGAGUCGCUGGGCUAGAUAAUAUAAACGAAGAAUUCUUAUGCUUUAUGCAUAUGUUCGGAUAUUUAUAGGCGGGUUCAGUCGAACUCGUCUAUUUUUCUGCUG